AGUGGCGGACGGGUGAGUAACGCGUGGGCAACCUACCCACACAGGGGACGAACAGUUGGUAAACGACUGCUAAUACCGCAUAGGCGCACAGCUUCGCAUGAAGCAGUGUGGAAAACCGAGGUGGUGUGGGAUGGGCCCGCGUCUGAUUAGCUGGUUGGCGGGGUAACGGCCCACCAAGGCGACGAUCAGUAGCCGGCCUGAGAGGGUGGACGGCCACAUUGGGACUGAGACACGGCCCAAACUCCUACGGAAGGCAGCAG
RNAcentral lists this ribosomal RNA (260 nucleotides) under uncultured bacterium. Its description in RNAcentral is "partial 16S ribosomal RNA". It matches the Rfam family "Bacterial small subunit ribosomal RNA", at positions 94 to 354 of the family's 1533-position model. The record is from RNAcentral.